UUGUGGAGAAGGACGCCGAAGGUGGGGCUGAUGACUGGGGUGAAGUCGUAACAAGGUAGCCGUACCGGAAGGUGCGGCUGGAUCACCUCCUAACAGGGAGACAAUAAAUUGAUUGUGAUGUCUAAGUUAUUUAUUCUUAGGCCGCAAUCCUGUCACCUUAAGGUCGAUCGGUACCUCAGAUUUUUGAAUUAGUUUUAUAAUUGAUUCUUUGAUUUCAGUUCCUAAACUUGUCUAGGUCACACCCAACAAAGGUUUCUCCUGGGCCAUUAGCUCAGGUGGUUAGAGCGCACCCCUGAUAAGGGUGAGGUCCCUGGUUCAAGUCCAGGAUGGCCCAUUCGUUGUUGGGGGUAUAGCUCAGUUGGUAGAGCGCCUGCUUUGCAAGCAGGAUGUCAGCGGUUCGAGUCCGCUUACCUCCACUGAAAACUAUCCUGAUAACUAAAUUCUGGAGAAAAAAUUGUAGAUGUGGCUUAGAAUUGUCUAUUUGAAAAGAACCUAGCUUCUUGUCAUCUUUUUAUAGUUGAUAAAAUGCUGGGCUCGCAUGGAUUAUUUCCAUGAGAAUUCAGUAGAACCUUGAAAACUGCAUAGAUUAGAAAGAAUAAAGCAUCUCAUGGAUGCAUAAUUCUGUUUUUAUAAUUUAGCCUUAAAACUGAAUUAUUAAUUCUAGAGUUCAUGUUUAAUUCUUGAGUAAAAGCCGAGCACAAUUGAUUUUGUGAUUGUAUUUAAGGUCAAGCUACAA
This 736-nucleotide unclassified non-coding RNA is filed under the name uncultured Prochlorococcus sp. RNAcentral describes it as "partial 16S-23S ribosomal RNA intergenic spacer; may also contain 16S ribosomal RNA and 23S ribosomal RNA". The stretch from base 344 to 416 matches the Rfam family "tRNA". The record is from RNAcentral. Lineage: Bacteria; Bacillati; Cyanobacteriota; Cyanophyceae; Synechococcales; Prochlorococcaceae.